GGGAAUGUGGCUUAGUGGUAGAGUACUUGCCUCGCAUGCAUGAAGCUCUAAGUUCGAUACCUCAGUACCA
Non-coding RNA from Dipodomys ordii (Ord's kangaroo rat), 70 nucleotides. Lineage: Eukaryota; Metazoa; Chordata; Mammalia; Rodentia; Heteromyidae. The record is from Rfam.